Melospiza melodia melodia is the source of this 714-nucleotide long non-coding RNA. RefSeq lists it as uncharacterized. The record is from RefSeq and is a predicted model, not a curated record. NCBI's taxonomy places the organism in Eukaryota, Metazoa, Chordata, Aves, Passeriformes, Passerellidae. The transcript is spliced from 4 exons.
GGCAGCACGUGUAUGAGGAAAGGAGCAGGUUUCUGAAACCUGGUCCAGGAUGCUACACAAAGUGCAUCACCAGGAAACAGCACAGGCAGGAUCAGACACACUGCAUUUCUGCAGACAGCUAGCUAUGGAAAUAUAGUUGAGCUGGCUUGGAACAGUGAUGCUGCACUCAGCCCAUGCACCAUUAGCUGCUGUGUGAUCAGAGUGAUCCAUGGUGACAGGACACCAAAACAUGAUUCAGUGCCCACAUUUGUACUGGUUUGGAAAAGAAGAAUAGUCACCGCAAGCAACCAAAGAAAAAUUGUAGCAAGGAACAUAAUUGGAAUUCUACAGUUUCUCAAGGCCUUGGUUUCCUCUGAAGAACCUGGAAUGGUCAAAGAUGCACCAGCUGGAGGCUGAGUGUUUUACAUGUAGCAUGGUCAUGGCAGACACCUUGCAAAUGGCAGCAGACACAGCCUUACAGAAACAGGAGGACAACCUGGAGAAGAACCAAGCUGGGGCAUUUGCUCAACAUCAGAUGUGCAGAUGUGGUGCUGAGGGACGUGGUUCAGUGGGAACUCGGCAGGAGAGGCUGAGACUGCAAGUGCUGGGAGCUCUGCUCUGAGCCAGCAUGGUCACACAAGGAGACGAGGAAGAAAGAGACGCCAUUCCAUGGGCCUCACGUACACCAACACUACAGCGCCCCGCACUCCUGCCAAGGCCUCUGUGGGAUGGCAG